CAGUCGCCGCGGUAAUACGAAGGGUGCAAGCGUUACUCGGAAUUACUGGGCGUAAAGCGUGCGUAGGUGGUGGUUUAAGUCCGUUGUGAAAGCCCUGGGCUCAAUCUGGGAAUUGCAGUGGAUACUGGGUCACUAGAGUGUGGUAGAGGAUAGUGGAAUUUCCGGUGUAGCAGUGAAAUGCGUAGAGAUCGGAAGGAACAUCUGUGGCGAAGGCGACUAUCUGGGCCAACACUGACACUGAGGCACGAAAGCGUGGGGAGCGAACAGGAUUAGAUACCCCUGUAGUCCCUGUCUCUUAACC
This 301-nucleotide ribosomal RNA is filed under the name uncultured bacterium. RNAcentral describes it as "partial 16S ribosomal RNA". It matches the Rfam family "Bacterial small subunit ribosomal RNA", at positions 509 to 808 of the family's 1533-position model. The record is from RNAcentral.